AUCUGGGCGGCGGAAUUCAGGAUGGCUGGUGGGUCUCGUGCUCGUCCGGCCGUUUGAUAUUUCCGUCGCCGCGUCAGACGUCGCGACCUGUUUGUCGUCGGUCCUUGCUCGGAGGAAUCGCGAUCGAGUUCGUUGCGGAGUGCGCUCCGGUGUGCUACGCGGCGAAGACGCGACUCUCUGGCCGACGACGGACAGUAAGCAACGGUGUCCGACGCCGUGUCUCGCACCCGGCGCCGGUACCGGUCUGCGACGAUUUCUUCGGGCCUCUUUCCGACCCGUCUUGAAACACGGACCAAGGAGUCUAACAUGCGCGCGAGUCGCGGGGUUUCGAGCGUGCCACGGUGCGCUCGUCACUCACAAAACCCGUACGUUGAAGGCGUAAUGAAAGUGAACAGGGAGGAUGGCGUUCCGAGUCCACGUACCGUGAUCGAGUGUCGCGGCCGGACGUCCGCACUCCCGGGGCGUCUCAGUGGCUCGUCGCGGAUGCGGACAGUCGUCUUUCGGGGUGGCUGUCGGUCUGCGUCGGACCGA
Molecule: ribosomal RNA, 531 nt
Filed under: Kuwanaspis takahashii
Lineage: Eukaryota; Metazoa; Arthropoda; Insecta; Hemiptera; Diaspididae
Description: eukaryotic LSU rRNA
Source: RNAcentral